Molecule: long non-coding RNA, 374 nt
Organism: Dreissena polymorpha
Lineage: Eukaryota; Metazoa; Mollusca; Bivalvia; Myida; Dreissenidae
Exons: 3
Source: RefSeq, a predicted model, not a curated record
AGGUUUCUCGGUACAACAGUGGAGAGUUCUUCCGUACUGUCUCUGCUACAGAGUCUGGUGCAACAACUGAGUAUGCUGGAGAAUCAAAGCCCACGAACCGGCCUGCCGACGAGCAUCUCAACAUCCACAGUAUAAACUCAAGUGCCGCAGAUAUAUCUACUAUAUGAGCGACGAAUCCAUCGUCUUUGCCAGCUCUUUCCACACUGCAGGAGGAAGAUCGUCUGGAACACACACAUUAUCUGACCCGCGCGCGCACCGUUGACUUGGUAACGGUGGUAACGAUUGCAGAUGACAUCAACCUCAGGGUGUGGGCUCGAUCCCGGGACAAAAAGACGACCACAGAUCGGCAGGCCCGGACGCUGGCGCCAAUAGAA